UGCAGCUAUGUCAAAUUCAGUGCCUGCCUUACCCACAGCAGGCACUGGCCUAAAAGGCUGCCACAGAGACACUGUAACUCAUGGGCCCUGUUUCUCUCUGCUGAGCCUCAGGGAUAAACUUUGUUACAGACAUGA
This 135-nucleotide small nucleolar RNA is filed under the name Echinops telfairi (small Madagascar hedgehog). RNAcentral describes it as "Small nucleolar RNA SNORA5 (ENSETEG00000022845.1)". It matches the Rfam family "Small nucleolar RNA SNORA5". From Rfam's summary of the family: ACA5 is a member of the H/ACA class of snoRNA that guide the sites of modification of uridines to pseudouridines. Lineage: Eukaryota; Metazoa; Chordata; Mammalia; Afrosoricida; Tenrecidae. The record is from RNAcentral.